GAAAUCCUUCUCUUGUGGAGUCUUCCCUGGAAGCCUAGAUCUUCAGAGAUGGACUGACACAAAUGACAGGACAAAGAAACAUACAAGGAAAUAAAAUGAAAAUUCAGAACAGAUGUUAGGACACACUUUUUCAUGCUGAAUGUGCAGAGCGGUCAAACAGGUCUAGCAGCACAUCCGUUUCGAAGCUCAGACUGUUUCUGAAGGGUUCUGUCAUACUUACAAAAUUGAAUUAAGAAAAUUGACAGAAGACACUGUUUUUAUCAUCCUGAAGAGUAUAAUUGUUUUGAAGUGAUAAAAAAAAAUGUUACACGUGAAUGAGUUUAGGAGAUAAGAAAAAAGGAGUUGGAGAAAACCAAACCACCAACAAAAAAGGAUCAAUAGUGGUGAAAGAUAGCAGCUUUGAGAAACAUUGUUCACUGAAAGGAACAAUCUUCAAUUUUUCAAGGAAUUCAGCCUUCUAUUACAUAAAAUGUCCAAGGAAAUAAAACUAAUUAUUAAUGACAUCUGGAUGCAAGAGGUCAGGAAACCUUGGCAUAAAACUGAAGGGUUUUUUUCUGACAUAAAGAGGAUAAUUUUGUGCUGGAAUUUUCUGUACUUCAAUGUCCAGAAGAAUGGAAUGCAUUGUGUUUGUGUAUAAAUGUGGGAUCUACUACUUUAUAUAAGGUAUGCAUGUGUGUAUACAUGUAGAAGACUGGUAUUAGUGUAUAUGUGAGUCUUCUGAAUAUCAGCCAUUUCAAUAUGCCUCUUUCUGUGGAUGGAAGAUUUAAUGGAACCUUUGUGGUUGAGAUGAUUAACCACACUAACCACCACAGUCUGACCAUAGAAGGAAAGAGCUACUGUUUCAUUCUUAAAUUGUGAAUGACUAGUAUUGAACGUGAAGAAAUAUGAACAAGUUUGUGAAAAUACAAUUACUGAUUCCUAGUAUUCUCACACCACGCUUACAUGGAAUCCCUCACAAUUCUGCCUAAUAUACUAUCAUUAAUUCUAUAUGCUGUAUUGUUAUUUGGCUUUCUAUUCACGUUUCUUAGGCCAUUUUCUUGUGUGCAGAGCCGUUGUUUCACCAAAAGUUUAAGUGGGCUCUGCAGCCUCUUUUGUCUUUACACUACACAUAUGCAUACAGACUGAAAAAUUACUUUGCACUACUUUGAAAGUCCUUAGAGAAUCUCAUGCAAUAGAAAAAUCUGUUAAAUUCGUCACCUCUGCACUACUGAAAAUAUACAUUUCCUGCUCUGUCUUGCUGAAGACUUUCAGCCACAUGGUGUUGUACUCAAGACUAUUCUUCAGCUGCUCAGCAAAGUUCUGACAUUAUCGAUAGUAACAGAGUUGAAAUAAGGUUCAGCAUUACAUUUGAGUACCAGAAAUUAUGGUAAAAGCUUAGAAUUAAGCAUUUUUUUUUUUUAAG
Molecule: long non-coding RNA, 1402 nt
Organism: Lagopus muta (rock ptarmigan)
Lineage: Eukaryota; Metazoa; Chordata; Aves; Galliformes; Phasianidae
Exons: 5
Source: RefSeq, a predicted model, not a curated record